Molecule: non-coding RNA, 1661 nt
Organism: Arachis ipaensis
Lineage: Eukaryota; Viridiplantae; Streptophyta; Magnoliopsida; Fabales; Fabaceae
Source: RefSeq, a predicted model, not a curated record
UUGUUUUUUCAUGAGGGUUCAGUGUUUACUUUUUUAUUAUUGCAAUUUGCUUAUAAUUUUGUAUCCUUCUUUAUUAGGGUUUAUUGAUUUUGCAUUUUGCAUUUUAGGCAUAAAAACAAACAAAAGAAAAUUCCAUUAUGCUAGUUUAUGAUGUUUAAUUGAAAUGUUUCCAGUUUUCAAAAAGCAUCCAUUUGAUGUAUUACUAUGUCUCUAGACCUGGAAUAAAAACUACGGGUGAAAUGUUAAUCCUAUAGUAAUCAGUGAUUAAUUCAUGAUUGGUUCUGUACGAUGAAUUUGAGCUUGCUUUGCUGUUGAUUCAUUGACAUAAUAAGCUUGUGAUAUUCUAAUGAGAACCCUCUCUGCUGAUGUUCUAUCCCUGUGAGAUUCCUUUUAUAUCAUUCAAACAAUAUUUAUGGUUGAAUUUGAAUUUUUUGCAUAUGGUCACAUCAUCAGAAGUGGGAUGAUCACAUUGCAAUCAUGGCUGUUGGUGUGGUUGAUGGAAGUUCCGAAGCCAUUUUCCAGACUCUUAUGUCACUUGGUCCUUCAAGAUCAGCAUGGGAUUUCUGUUUCUACAAAGGCAGUGUGGUUGAGCACGUAGAUGGUCACACUGACAUCAUUCACAAAGAGCUGUAUAGGGAUUGGUUGCCUUGAUUUAUUUUCAUAAGAAUUAUCAGAAAUUGGAUUGAACUACUUUAUCUGCUUGUGGAUGGAGUGGCACACCCUUGAUAUCAUCACUUCCUCUUGAUUGGUUGUAGCUGCCGUCCAGCCUCUGCAAUAUCUGUAGAGAAAGAAAAAGUUCUUUUGGCAAUGGCAUAUAGCUCGCUGUUCAAUAGAGUGCAGUUCUUAGCAGAUUCUUGAGCCGAUUUUCUCUUUAUGUCUGUGUUUGUCUCUUCAAUUUCCUUGUCUAUAAUUGUAAGUCUGCAUGUUCUUUCCUAAUUUUUGGUUUAUAUCUAACAUUUAAAUGGAUCUGUCAAUGUGGUGUCAUUUAUAUUAUCUGAAUAUUUUCUGCAGAAAUUUUCCAUUCAAGCAAGGAAAAUGAAAUGCACACUAGCUUCACUCAUUGAUAUAAUUAGUACAAGAGAAAGCACAAAAAUAGGGGACAGCAAGCUAAAUAUGACUUUAAAGGGGGUGCACAGGUGCAAAUUUUAUGUGCAGAACCAGAUUCUCAAAAGACACCAAUUGACAAUGAUUUAUCAGAUAGUGAAAUGAAUUCAAAAGAUACAAAGGAAAUGGUCCUAGUCCGCCAUUCAGGAAGAAUUACAAGAAAAUCAUAUAAGGAAAAAGUCCAUGCCCUGUAGUUGUUGACAUUGAUAAUGAGGAUACUACAGAAGCGGAUCAAGUUCAAGAGGAAAAUAAAGAGCAUGCUUCAGGCUUAAAAUCUAAGAAAGUUCCUCGAUCUGCUUCAGCCACUGCAAAUAAUGAAGUUGUGUCUAGUAACAAUGCAAAUAAUAUUCUUUUGGAAGAUUUGAAGCUUUUCGCUCACAAUGGAUGAUCAGAAAUCAUGGAGUUUCAUAUUUUGUAAUGAAAUAUAUAUAAAGGAAGUAGAUAAUGUAAUAGUUGUUGCAAUUGUAAUUCAUGUAUUAAGAAUUUAUAGGUAAUUGUUAUGAUUUUGAUUUUUGGUAUUUUGUUAGAGCAUGUCAUGUGAUUAAACACUUUUUUUU